This 459-nucleotide ribosomal RNA is filed under the name uncultured bacterium. RNAcentral describes it as "bacterial SSU rRNA". It matches the Rfam family "Bacterial small subunit ribosomal RNA", at positions 29 to 532 of the family's 1533-position model. The record is from RNAcentral.
AAUGAACGCUGGCGGCAGGCCUAACACAUGCAAGUCGAACGAAACCUCGGGUUUAGUGGCGGACGGGUGAGUAACGCGUGGGAACAUACCCUUUGGUACAGAAUAGCCUCGGGAAACUGGGAGUAAUACCGUAUGUGCCCUUCGGGGGAAAGAUUUAUCGCCAAAGGAUUGGCCCGCGUUGGAUUAGGUAGUUGGUGGGGUAAUGGCCUACCAAAGCCGACGAUCCAUAGCUGGUUUGAGAGGAUGAUCAGCCACACUGGGACUGAGACACGGCCCAGACUCCUACGGGAGGCAGCAGUGGGGAAUCUUAGACAAUGGGCGCAAGCCUGAUCUAGCCAUGCCGCGUGAUCGAUGAAGGCCUUAGGGUUGUAAAGAUCUUUCAGAUGGGAAGAUAAUGACGGUACCAUCAGAAGAAGCCCCGGCUAACUCCGUGCCAGCAGCCGCGGUAAAGUCGUACGA